CCCCCCCCCCCCCAGAAAAAGAUCCUUUCGUUGGAGCUUUUUAUCAAAUGAAAGCUGGAAGGGAGGCAUAACACCCGAGGACUGAUUUGCGUUUCCAGUAUUUGUGCCUGUUUCAGGCUGUAAGAUGUUAAUGGGAUGGCAGGAUUUUGUAAUCAUCUUUACUGCACUGAAAUAAAUGACUAGGUAAUGUGAGAAGCAAUGGUGAUUUGAACCCAAUCUUGCAAGCUCGUUCUUAUGCAAAUCAUCUCUGAGGACUCGGGACCUGAGGAAUGCUCAGUCAGAAUUUGGAAGUGAAAACAACGGCAGCUCUGUGACAUCUACACGGCAAGGACCAUGCUGAUCUAACAGCUUGUUGACACAAGAAGGGAGAAGGCCAGUUCCCACCCUUCCCUCCAAAGUUCCCAGUUCAUGACGAUAUAUAGCCUCCCGCUGUAUAUGAGAAUCCUCACACAAGCUCCCAUAGGAGUCCAUAGUACUUCUGUCACUGAUUUCAAUAACAGAAAAGACUGGCUUCAAGAAUACAAGUAAAACAGCUCAUCUGAUCUUUCCUAGGCUCUGUUUGAAGAGACAACAUUUCCACACAGCUGCUCAAAAACAUGUCUGUUUUCCACCCGAGUCUUAAUACCUGAGCUUCAGGGAGUAGCACUGAACAGCAGCACAGGGUCUUUGGCUUAUUUGCAUGAAUUAAUCACAGGAACACAGCUUCCAGAUUAGAUGGCAUUGUCCCAAAGGGUUAAUGCCUUACAUGCUCAGAUGGAUGCUGCCCAAAAGCGCAGUGCCUUGGAUGUGCACUGAGAAUGAAAGAAACUGGAAGUUCCGUCGCACACAAUUAUGGAGAACAAAGCUCCAGCCUUUUAAAUUAAAAUUCUUGAACACCAGAUGUGUAGACACGAUGUAUUUAUUUUUGACCUUCCAAUUUAAGAGGGAAAAGAGAACUGGCUAAAUUAAUCCCUGGUGUAACCUAGUUGACAUCACUGGAGUUACCCUAGGAAUAAGCUUGAAUUUGCUACAUCUUAGACACAAUGACAUAAAUGACUUCAAAAAAUUCAUACCACUUUGGAUCUAACACAAGCUUAGGAAUGACCUAUGCAGUAGAUCUAAUUAGACGGAUUUGAGGUUUUGGCCUUUUAAUGAGAAAGUAGGCUUCACCGUGCAAUUGUUAACUUGCCUCUAUAAACAUGUUUAUUAACAGUUGUACAGAGCACCCUGCUAAUUAAUGAAAGCCUUGCGCUUGAUUUUGAAAAUUAUUAAAGUUAAUAC
Molecule: long non-coding RNA, 1260 nt
Organism: Dromaius novaehollandiae (emu)
Lineage: Eukaryota; Metazoa; Chordata; Aves; Casuariiformes; Dromaiidae
Exons: 3
Source: RefSeq, a predicted model, not a curated record